Molecule: ribosomal RNA, 407 nt
Filed under: uncultured bacterium
Lineage: Bacteria
Description: bacterial SSU rRNA
Rfam family: Bacterial small subunit ribosomal RNA
Source: RNAcentral
AUUGAACGCUGGCGGCAGGCCUAACACAUGCAAGUCGAGCGGGGUUUUCGGACCUAGCGGCGGACGGGUGAGUAAUGCGUAGGAAGCUACCCGAUAGAGGGGGAUACCAGUUGGAAACGACUGUUAAUACCGCAUAAUGUCUACGGACCAAAGUGUGGGACCUUCGGGCCACAUGCUAUCGGAUGCGCCUACGUGGGAUUAGCUAGUUGGUGAGGUAAUGGCUCACCAAGGCGACGAUCUCUAGCUGGUUUGAGAGGAUGAUCAGCCACACUGGAACUGAGACACGGUCCAGACUCCUACGGGAGGCAGCAGUGGGGGAAUAUUGGACAAUGGGCGCAAGCCUGAUCCAGCCAUGCCGCGUGUGUGAAGAAGGCCUUCGGUUGUAAAGCACUUCUAGCGAGGAGGAA